This 65-nucleotide transfer RNA is filed under the name Pediacus sp. MJ-2020. RNAcentral's name for it is "tRNA-Asn". The record is from RNAcentral. Lineage: Eukaryota; Metazoa; Arthropoda; Insecta; Coleoptera; Cucujidae.
UUAAUUGAAACCAAAAUAGAGGUCUGUCACUGUUAAUGACAUCAAUGAAUUAUUUUCCAAUUAAA